Molecule: RNA transcript, 1685 nt
Organism: Arachis ipaensis
Lineage: Eukaryota; Viridiplantae; Streptophyta; Magnoliopsida; Fabales; Fabaceae
Gene name: phosphatidylglycerophosphate phosphatase PTPMT2
Source: RefSeq, a predicted model, not a curated record
UAAAAUUAAAUUCCGAGGGCAUUCUUGACAGGUGCCCUCUCCUUUUCCUUAACAUCUCAACGCUCUCAAUCCCACACUCUCCCACUUUCGCUUCUACCUCAUCGGUCGAUUACAUUUCUUGCUGCUUAGGUUUCAUCGAUCUGUGAUUUUUCUCGCCUUCCUUGUUCCCCUAUCUCGGUGAAUUUGAUCGCGGUUGUGGUUCUAGGGUUUCUUUGUUUGUUUGGUUUCGGGGUUUAAUUUGCUGUGUGGCAUGAAGAUCGAGGAGUUAGACGAUACGGGGAGUAGUAGGGAUGAAGAGAAGGGGGAGAUGCAGAUUGUGAGGGUUGAUUCAAAGAGAGCGUUGGUUGGAGCAGUUGCUCGGAUCCUGUUUUACCCGACACUCUUGUAUAAUGUGCUUCGUAACAAGAUUGAAGCUGAAUUCAGGUGGUGGGAUCAAGUUGAUGAGUUUUUGUUGCUGGGCGCAGUCCCAUUCCCCAAAGAUGUUCCUCACUUGAAGAAGCUUGGCGUUGGUGGUGUAAUAACUCUUAAUGAACCGUAUGAAACUUUGGUGCCUUCAUCAUUGUAUCAUGCUCAUGGAAUUGAUCACUUGGUAAUUCCCACAAGGGAUUAUCUCUUUGCCCCCUCCUUUGCUGAUAUCAGCCGGGCUGUGCAGUUCAUUCAUCAGAAUUCAACUUGUGGUAAAACUACUUAUGUUCACUGUAAAGCUGGGCGGGGAAGGAGUACAACAAUUGUGCUUUGCUAUCUGAUUGAAUACAAGCACAUGACAGCUGCUGCUGCCCUGGAAUAUGUGCGGUCUCAAAGACCCAGAGUGAUGCUAGCUCCAUCGCAAUGGAAGGCUGUUCAAAACUAUAGCAAACGCAGACCUUGUUCUUUUGCACGCUCACCCUCAUGGGAUGCAGUUCUUAUAACCAAAGCUGAUCUUGAAGGCUACCAGAGCUCUGGUAAUGCUGGUAUGGAGCUGGCCAUUGCUCCUAAAGUGCCAAAGACUAAUCCCAUGAUAUCAAGACUAUCUUGUCUGUUUGCAUCCUUAAAGACAUCCGGAAAUAGUGUACCCAUGACAAGGUGGUUGCCGGUUUCUGAGUCACGUGCUUGUUAAGCCAGCAAGCCAGGCCAGCUUGACACGGAUAUGUACAGAAGAAGGUUGUGGAAAUAAGUGAAGUUGGAUACUUUCCCACAGAGUCGGUGCAAUUGUGUUAAAUGAGAGUAUGCAUAGUAUGAAAGAUAGGGAGGGAAGAUUCCUCCAUUGUCGUGUUAUAGGUUGUAGUUCUCUUGUAGAUACCUCAUGGUCAUGGGUGAUUACUCCAUAUGCAAGUUAAAUCAUUAUUGAUGUGAAAUAAAUACAAUUACUCAGUUGGUGGCCGAACGGUUGCUUCUGUUUACUGAUCUGACCUCUGUGGCUCUGCCUACUGCUCCAGUUUCUGUUGCAAUAUGAUUCUAGGAAGGAACAGCGUAAUAUGUCUUGACGUGUGGAUGCAGCCUUAGAGUGUUAGUCAGUUAGUGUUGCUCCAAUUCUGGUGAAAAACUUGGGCGGUAGUAUUGAUAUACAAUACAUUGGUCGUAAAAGUAUCUUAACUAUAUAUACAUCACAUUGAUACAUUGUGAAAAGUGUGCGAUGCAUCAAAUAAUGAAGUGUUUACAGACACUUAAUUUAGUCAAAAGAAAUAAAAAUAAAAUUGUGGAUUUUA